UGAGAGUUUGAUCCUGGCUCAGGAUGAACGCUGGCGGUCUGCUUAACACAUGCAAGUCGAACGCAACCUUCGGGUUGAGUGGCGGACGGGUGAGUAACGCGUGAGAAUCUGCCUUGGGGUCGGGGACAACCACUGGAAACGGUGGCUAAUACCGGAUACGCCUUCGGGUAAAAGAUUUAUUGCCCUAAGAGGAGCUCGCGUCUGAUUAGCUAGUUGGUGAGGUAAGAGCUCACCAAGGCAGCGAUCAGUAGCUGGUCUGAGAGGACGAUCAGCCACACUGGGACUGAGACACGGCCCAGACUCCUACGGGAGGCAGCAGUGGGGAAUUUUCCGCAAUGGGCGAAAGCCUGACGGAGCAAGACCGCGUGAGGGAGGAAGGCUCUUGGGUUGUAAACCUCUUUUCUCAGGGAAGAAGCUCUGACGGUACCUGAGGAAUCAGCCUCGGCUAACUCCGUGCCAGCAGCCGCGGUAAUACGGAGGAGGCAAGCGUUAUCCGGAAUUAUUGGGCGUAAAGCGUCCGCAGGUGGCGAUUCAAGUCUGCUGUCAAAGCACGGGGCUUAACUCCGUAAAGGCAGUGGAAACUGAAUAGCUAGAGUGCCGUAGGGGUAGAGGGAAUUCCCGGUGUAGCGGUGAAAUGCGUAGAGAUCGGGAAGAACAUCGGUGGCGAAAGCGCUCUACUGGACGGCAACUGACACUCAGGGACGAAAGCUAGGGGAGCGAAUGGGAUUAGAUACCCCAGUAGUCCUAGCUGUAAACGAUG
Molecule: ribosomal RNA, 760 nt
Filed under: uncultured bacterium
Lineage: Bacteria
Description: bacterial SSU rRNA
Rfam family: Bacterial small subunit ribosomal RNA
Source: RNAcentral